GAUGAACGCUAGCGGCAGGCUUAACACAUGCAAGUCGAGGGGCAGCAUAGACAUUGCUUGCAAUGUUUGAUGGCGACCGGCGCACGGGUGCGUAACGCGUAUGCAACCUACCUGUAACAGGGGGAUAACACUGAGAAAUUGGUACUAAUACCCCGUAACAUCAUUAAGGGCAUCCUUUUUGGCUGAAAGUUCCGGCGGUUACAGAUGGGCAUGCGUUGUAUUAGCUUGUUGGCGGGGUAACGGCCCACCAAGGCUACGAUCGUUAGGGGUUCUGAGAGGAAGGUCCCCCACACUGGAACUGAAACACGGUCCAG
This 314-nucleotide ribosomal RNA is filed under the name uncultured bacterium. Its description in RNAcentral is "bacterial SSU rRNA". It matches the Rfam family "Bacterial small subunit ribosomal RNA", at positions 28 to 334 of the family's 1533-position model. The record is from RNAcentral.